CUCUUUCCAUCAAACCUGUUAAUCUCUAUCUUAAUUGAGCCUAUCUUCUCUAUCUUCAAUCUUGCUCACCACCAUCAUAAUCUACGUCCUAGUACCAUCUCGCUCUGAUACUACUUGUUGGAGUAUCACCUUCUCUGAUAUCGCUUAUUGGGGAUGUCUAGCUAGGACACCACCUCCAUAAGAUCUUUUCGAUACCAUGCGUCACAGCAGAAAGAAAGAAGAAAUAAAAUAAAAAAAUCAAAUACAUGAAUCAGCCAAAAGACUCGCCUCCACGGGACAUACAAGCUUCACUAUAAGAAAAAAAAAUUACAAGAGGAGAUCACACCCUCAACCCUCAUACACCCAAUCUCUCCCUCACAAGAAGCUCUCUCUCAAAAAGCUCUCUCUCUAAGAAGAUCCCCUUGAACCCUUAAAGUGACCGCUGUCCGCUGCUUGACAGUCUGCCUGAAGUACCCUGCUUCUGCUCUUUGCUGGCACCUCUCGGUAUGCUGCUGCUCUGGAUCUUUUGCCAAACAACUAAAGCCACCAGUCUACUCUCUAUUUCGCCAUAGGGUCUUUUAAAGACCUGAAACUUAGCUGAGAUAGGAAUAAGACUCUGAAUCAAACUCCUGUUACUUCUUGACCAUCCGAUCGCAUCUCAGAUUUGAAAUUGGCCAUCAGAUCGUGCCCCAUCAUGAUCUCUGAUCACUUGGAACGACUCACAGUCAUUGGAUCUUGAUCGCAAGCCCUGCGAUUGUCCGAUUGUGCAUCAAUCCAUAAGAACCCAUCGUGGACCGUAAGAAACCAGUCUGAAAUGCCCGUCGGUCCACCGUGGAUCGCACAAAAUCCAGAAAAAAAGUAUGCC
This 844-nucleotide long non-coding RNA is filed under the name Elaeis guineensis (African oil palm). RNAcentral describes it as "long non-coding RNA (EGUI_LNC021228)". Lineage: Eukaryota; Viridiplantae; Streptophyta; Magnoliopsida; Arecales; Arecaceae. The record is from RNAcentral.